GCCCAGUUGAAAGAUACUCAGGAGCAAUAUGACCCACAGUACCCCGCACUGCAGUAGUGACAUGUGAAUCUCUUUGAUCUAAUAGCUUAGCAAGACCAAAAUCUCCAACUAUAGCUUCAAAACUUUCAUCAAGUAAAAUGUUUGCUGCUUUGACAUCCCUGUGAAUUAUUUUUGGAUUACACUGUUCAUGCAUGUAUAGAAGUCCACGGGCAGCCCCAAGAGCAAUAUGAAUUCGUCUGUUCCAAUCCAAUGAUGGUUUUUCUCGAUAAGCCUCUCUCAAGCGGUCAGCAACACUGCC
This 298-nucleotide unclassified non-coding RNA is filed under the name Hevea brasiliensis (rubber tree). Lineage: Eukaryota; Viridiplantae; Streptophyta; Magnoliopsida; Malpighiales; Euphorbiaceae. The record is from RNAcentral.